GCACAUAAUGUAAUAUUAUCAGUUUUAUGUUGUUUGGCCACCAGUGAUAAGUCAAGUAAUUGGUGCAUCGUGUCUUUCAGCAGAGCAAGAAGAAAGGUUUUUCUCUGUUUCACACCACUAACGACAGACAGCAAACAUCUCUCUCAUUAACAUGACUGGCAUCACUGUCUGAACAUCAAACUACGGUGAGAAGUUCAUCACUUAAAAGUUUGUCUUGUGCAUAUCCUGUUUCCUGUGGGUGUGAAGAAAGGCUGUUGUGACUGCGUGACAUCCAUCCACAUGUAUGUAGGUUUGUUUUCCAGGCAGUAAACGCUCAUUAGUGGGGAAAGAGGUCCACAGAGCUCUUUCAAUCAGUCGGCCAGAUGUUUGCUGCUCUCUUUAGACCGAGAAACCCAACCCACACAACCAUGCUCACAGGUACAACAGCACAGAUCGAUUUCAGCUCAAAUGCAUUUGAAAAAACUUCAAAGUCACAAAACAAGGGAGAAUUCUAAAGAGAAGAUGCUCUAAAGAUUCUAAAAAAUGAAGGUUCCAAUUAGAACCCAAAAAGAUUGUACUGUUUGACUAGAACCUUUUUAAUUUUCUAGUUCUCUAGCAGGUUUCUGUGCUGGUGCUCUGAAAGCACUGGUAGAAAGUCUUGAUCGUGCAUUAGUUGCUCAGAUAGAAAUCUGAUCCAGGAUUGGCAUCGAGAGCUUCUCUGCGGUUUGGAGCUGCUCUCAUUGUGGUGCGGUGACAGAUCAGUUGAGUUUGAGUGUUGUGAAACUGCCUCUAUAAUGGUUGAUGGAUCUGCUUUGAAUGAGCAGUUCUGGAACAGUUUGGUUUCUUUUUAUGAGAGCACAUUCACUAGAUCUGAUUAGAAAUUUUCUAAUCUCUUUCAUAUCUCAAGAGACUUAGAGUUCUCAGAUCUGCUGCUUUUUAAAUUUCAUCUGUGUUUUAAAUUGCUUUGGAAGAGAUAAAAAUAGACAGAAAUGAGAAAAGUGUUGACAUACAAACAGAGAAAAGAGUUUGGAAUAGAAAUAAUAACAAAUAAAAAAAUGUGCAUGG
This is a long non-coding RNA of Carassius carassius (crucian carp), 1044 nucleotides long. RefSeq lists it as uncharacterized. The record is from RefSeq and is a predicted model, not a curated record. NCBI's taxonomy places the organism in Eukaryota, Metazoa, Chordata, Actinopteri, Cypriniformes, Cyprinidae. The transcript is spliced from 3 exons.